CAAUAGCGUAUAUUAAAGUUGUUGCAGUUAAAAAGCUCGUAGUUGAAUUUUUGCUUGCCGCCGAUGUCGGAACUUCCGUACGUUCGGCGGCGUGCAUCCUUGGGUGGAACCUGUGUGGCAUUAGGUUGUCGUGCAGGGGAUGCUCAUCGUUUACUGUGAAAAAAUUAGAGUGUUCAAAGCAAGCUUACGCCGUUGAAUAUAUUAGCAUGGAAUAAUAAGAUAGGACCUUGGUACUAUUUUGUUGGUUUGCGCACCGAGGUAAUGAUUAACAGGGACAGUUGGGGGUAUUCGUAUUCCAUUGUCAGAGGUGAAAUUCUUGGAUUUCUGGAAGACGAACUACUGCGAAAGCAUUUACCAAGGAUGUUUUCAUUAA
Molecule: ribosomal RNA, 373 nt
Filed under: uncultured eukaryote
Lineage: Eukaryota
Description: partial 18S ribosomal RNA
Rfam family: Eukaryotic small subunit ribosomal RNA
Source: RNAcentral